RNAcentral lists this ribosomal RNA (262 nucleotides) under Ulva shanxiensis. RNAcentral's name for it is "partial 18S ribosomal RNA". It matches the Rfam family "Eukaryotic small subunit ribosomal RNA", at positions 116 to 382 of the family's 1831-position model. Lineage: Eukaryota; Viridiplantae; Chlorophyta; Ulvophyceae; Ulvales; Ulvaceae. The record is from RNAcentral.
UUUAUUUGAUGGUACCACACUACUCGGAUAACCGUAGUAAAGCUACAGCUAAUACGUGCGUAACUCCCGACUUACGAAGGGACGUAUUUAUUAGAUUCAAGGCCGACCGUGCUCUGCACGUCUUUGGUGAAUCAUGGUAACUUCACGAAUCGCAGGGUCUAUCCCGGCGAUGUUUCAUUCAACUUUCUGCCCUAUCAACUUUCGACGGUAGUAUAGAGGACUACCGUGGUGGUAACGGGUGACGGAGGAUUAGGGUUCGAUU